This is a ribosomal RNA of Sinocyclocheilus anshuiensis, 117 nucleotides long. The record is from Ensembl. Lineage: Eukaryota; Metazoa; Chordata; Actinopteri; Cypriniformes; Cyprinidae.
UCACACAGCCAUAUCACCCUGCAGCCCAAGACUGGUUGCCCACUGAAGCUAAGCAGGGUUGAGCCUGGUCAGUACCUGGAUGGAAGACCUCCUGGCAAAACUAGGUUGCAGUUGGAA